RNAcentral lists this ribosomal RNA (464 nucleotides) under uncultured Klebsiella sp. RNAcentral's name for it is "bacterial SSU rRNA". It matches the Rfam family "Bacterial small subunit ribosomal RNA", at positions 338 to 795 of the family's 1533-position model. Lineage: Bacteria; Pseudomonadati; Pseudomonadota; Gammaproteobacteria; Enterobacterales; Enterobacteriaceae. The record is from RNAcentral.
CCUACGGGGGGCUGCAGUGGGGAAUAUUGCACAAUGGGCGCAAGCCUGAUGCAGCCAUGCCGCGUGUGUGAAGAAGGCCUUCGGGUUGUAAAGCACUUUCAGCGGGGAGGAAGGCGGUGAGGUUAAUAACCUCAUCGAUUGACGUUACCCGCAGAAGAAGCACCGGCUAACUCCGUGCCAGCAGCCGCGGUAAUACGGAGGGUGCAAGCGUUAAUCGGAAUUACUGGGCGUAAAGCGCACGCAGGCGGUCUGUCAAGUCGGAUGUGAAAUCCCCGGGCUCAACCUGGGAACUGCAUUCGAAACUGGCAGGCUAGAGUCUUGUAGAGGGGGGUAGAAUUCCAGGUGUAGCGGUGAAAUGCGUAGAGAUCUGGAGGAAUACCGGUGGCGAAGGCGGCCCCCUGGACAAAGACUGACGCUCAGGUGCGAAAGCGUGGGGAGCAAACAGGAUUAAUACCCCUGUAGUC